Molecule: RNase P RNA, 347 nt
Filed under: Anaerolineae bacterium
Lineage: Bacteria; Bacillati; Chloroflexota; Anaerolineae
Description: RNase P RNA component class A
Rfam family: Bacterial RNase P class A
About the family: Ribonuclease P (RNase P) is a ubiquitous endoribonuclease, found in archaea, bacteria and eukarya as well as chloroplasts and mitochondria. Its best characterised activity is the generation of mature 5'-ends of tRNAs by cleaving the 5'-leader elements of precursor-tRNAs.
Source: RNAcentral
CAGGCUGACCGGGUGAUCGCUCCCUGCUCCGGCAGGGGGAGGAAAGUCCGCCCUCCACAGGGCACGGUGCUGGCUAACGGCCAGGCGGGGCAACCCGACGGCAAGUGCAACAGAGAGGUAAAUUGCCCAGCAAUGGGCGAGGGUGAAACGGUGGUGUAAGAGACCACCGGCGCGGGCAGUGAUGCCGGCGGCCGGGCAAACCCCACCGGGAGCAAGGCCAAGCAGGCGCAUUGGGGCGGCCCGUCCCGCAAAAAGCGCCGGGUGUGCUGCUUGACUCCAUCCGGUAACGGGUGGAGCAGAUAGAUGAUCAUCCACGACAGAAGGCGGCUUAUAGGUCGGCCUGAGCA